GCGGCAGGCCUAACACAUGCAAGUCGAGCGCACUCUUCGGAGUGAGCGGCGGACGGGUUAGUAACGCGUGGGAACAUACCCUUUUCUACGGAAUAGCCUCGGGAAACUGAGAGUAAUACCGUAUACGCCCUUUUGGGGAAAGAUUUAUCGGUGAAGGAUUGGCCCGCGUUUGAUUAGAUAGUUGGUGGGGUAAUGGCCUACCAAGUCUACGAUCAAUAGCUGGUUUGAGAGGAUGAUCAGCAACACUGGGACUGAGACACGGCCCAGACUCCUACGGGAGGCAGCAGUGGGGAAUCUUAGACAAUGGGCGCAAGCCUGAUCUAGCCAUGCCGCGUGAGUGACGAAGGCCUUAGGGUCGUAAAGCUCUUUCGCCAGGGAUGAUAAUGACAGUACCUGGUAAAGAAACCCCGGCUAACUCCGUGCCAGCAGCCGCGGUAAUACGGAGGGGGUUAGCGUUGUUCGGAAUUACUGGGCGUAAAGCGUACGUAGGCGGAUUGGAAAGUAUGGGGUGAAAUCCCAGGGCUCAACCCUGGAACUGCCCCGUAAACUAUCAGUCUAGAGUUCGAGAGAGGUGAGUGGAAUUCCAAGUGUAGAGGUGAAAUUCGUAGAUAUUUGGAGGAACACCAGUGGCGAAGGCGGCUCACUGGCUCGAUACUGACGCCGAGGUACGAAAGUGUGGGGAGCAAACAGGAUUAGAUACCCUGGUAGUCCACACCGUAAACGAUGAAUGCCAGA
Molecule: ribosomal RNA, 735 nt
Filed under: uncultured marine bacterium
Lineage: Bacteria
Description: bacterial SSU rRNA
Rfam family: Bacterial small subunit ribosomal RNA
Source: RNAcentral